UUAAGUUCAGCGGGUAUCCCUACCUGAUCCGAGGUCAACCUUGAAAAAAGUUUCUCCCUGUGAGGGGAGGUAGACCGUUGCCCGUGAACCCUUGUGUCCGAUACAUGUCCCGCGAAGAACUCAGUGUACCGGGGGUCCAACGAGGCCGCCGUCAUUGUCUUUGGGAGGGGCAGAGACCCCGAGGGGUCUCCACCAAACCG
This 200-nucleotide unclassified non-coding RNA is filed under the name Exophiala sp. RNAcentral's name for it is "partial internal transcribed spacer 2". The record is from RNAcentral. Lineage: Eukaryota; Fungi; Ascomycota; Eurotiomycetes; Chaetothyriales; Herpotrichiellaceae.